RNAcentral lists this ribosomal RNA (255 nucleotides) under uncultured fungus. RNAcentral describes it as "partial 28S ribosomal RNA". It matches the Rfam family "Eukaryotic large subunit ribosomal RNA", at positions 399 to 675 of the family's 3401-position model. The record is from RNAcentral. Lineage: Eukaryota; Fungi.
GUGAAAUUGUUGAAAGGGAAGCGCUGUCCAUCAGACUUGUUGAUCAGGAUCACCCACCGUUCUCGGUGGGGCACUCUUGGUUGGACAGGCCCGCAUCGGUUGGAGCGGUCGGAGAAAGGCCAUGGGAAUGUAGCUCUUCGCGAGUGUUAUAGCCCGUGGCGGAAUACGGCCAGCUUCGACCGAGGUCUGCGCUUCGGCUCGGAUGCGGGCGUAAUGGUGGUCAGCGGCCCGUCUUGAAACACGGACCAAGGAGUC